CCUACGGGUGGCUGCAGUGGGGAAUAUUGGACAAUGGGGGGAACCCUGAUCCAGCCAUGCCGCGUGUGUGAAGAAGGCCCUCGGGUUGUAAAGCACUUUCAGUGAGGAAGAACGCCUGGUGGUUAAUACCCAUCAGGAAAGACAUCACUCACAGAAGAAGCACCGGCUAACUCCGUGCCAGCAGCCGCGGUAAUACGGAGGGUGCGAGCGUUAAUCGGAAUUACUGGGCGUAAAGCGCGCGUAGGUGGCUUGAUAAGCCGGUUGUGAAAGCCCCGGGCUCAACCUGGGAACGGCAUCCGGAACUGUCAAGCUAGAGUGCAGGAGAGGAAGGUAGAAUUCCCGGUGUAGCGGUGAAAUGCGUAGAGAUCGGGAGGAAUACCAGUGGCGAAGGCGGCCUUCUGAACUGACACUGACACUGAGGUGCGAAAGCGUGGGUAGCAAACAGGAUUAGAUACCCGUGUAGUC
Molecule: ribosomal RNA, 465 nt
Filed under: Vreelandella stevensii
Lineage: Bacteria; Pseudomonadati; Pseudomonadota; Gammaproteobacteria; Oceanospirillales; Halomonadaceae
Description: partial 16S ribosomal RNA
Rfam family: Bacterial small subunit ribosomal RNA
Source: RNAcentral